GACGAGGGGUCCAAGCGUUGUUCGGAAUCAUUGGGCGUAAAGCGGGUGUAGGCGGCUCUAUAAGUCAGAAGUGAAAGCCCCGAGCUUAACUUGGGAAGUGCUUUUGAUACUGCAGAGCUUGAAUGUGGGAGAGGGUAGUGGAAUUCCUGGUGUAGUGGUGAAAUACGUAGAUAUCAGGAGGAACACCGGUGGCGAAGGCGGCUACCUGGCCCAACAUUGACGCUGAGACCCGAAAGCAUGGGGAUCAAACAGG
RNAcentral lists this ribosomal RNA (253 nucleotides) under uncultured bacterium. Its description in RNAcentral is "partial 16S ribosomal RNA". It matches the Rfam family "Bacterial small subunit ribosomal RNA", at positions 524 to 776 of the family's 1533-position model. The record is from RNAcentral.